CUUGAAAUGUCCAGUGGUUACUUACUAGUUCUGGCCAACCUUCAUGUCAAGUUUCAAGACUCUAGGUCCAAGCAUACCAAAGUUAUAACAACUUUAACAUUUUUACAUUCAAGGUCACAGUGACCUUGACCUUCAAAUGAAUGACCUUGAAAUGCCCAGUGGUUACUUACUAGUUCUGGCCAACCUUCAUGUCAAGUUUCAAGACUCUAGGUCCAAGCAUACCAAAGUUAUAACAACUUUAACAUUUUUACAUUCAAGGUCACAGUGACCUUGACCUUCAAAUGAAUGACCUUGAAAUGUCCAGUGGUUACUUACUAGUUCUGGCCAACCUUCAUGUCAAGUUUCAAGACUCUAGGUCCAAGCAUACCAAAGUUAUAACAACUUUAACAUUUUUAUAUUGAAGGUCACAGUGACCUUCACCUUCAAAUGAAUGACCUUGAAAUAACCAGUGGUCAUCUGUUAAUCCUGGCCAACCUUCAUGUCAAGUUUGAAGACUCUAGGUCCAAGCAUACCAAAGUCAUACCAUGAAAUAAGAACUUUAACAUUUUUACAUUCAAGGUCACAGUGACCUUGACCUUCAAAUGAAUGACCUUGAAAUGACCAGUGGUCAUCUGUUAAUCCUGGCCAACCUUCAUGUCAAGUUUGAAGACUCUAGGUCCAAGCAUACCAAAGUUAUACCAUGAAAUAAGAACUUUAACAUUUUUACAUUCAAGGUCACAGUGACCUUGACCUUCAAAUGAAUGACCUUGAAAU
Dreissena polymorpha is the source of this 753-nucleotide long non-coding RNA. RefSeq lists it as uncharacterized. The record is from RefSeq and is a predicted model, not a curated record. Lineage: Eukaryota; Metazoa; Mollusca; Bivalvia; Myida; Dreissenidae. The transcript has 3 exons.